This 93-nucleotide transfer RNA is filed under the name Pseudomonas fluorescens A506. Its description in RNAcentral is "tRNA-Ser". It matches the Rfam family "tRNA". From Rfam's summary of the family: Transfer RNA (tRNA) molecules are approximately 80 nucleotides in length. Their secondary structure includes four short double-helical elements and three loops (D, anti-codon, and T loops). Further hydrogen bonds mediate the characteristic L-shaped molecular structure. tRNAs have two regions of fundamental functional importance: the anti-codon, which is responsible for specific mRNA codon recognition, and the 3' end, to which the tRNAs corresponding amino acid is attached (by aminoacyl-tRNA synthetases). tRNAs cope with the degeneracy of the genetic code in two manners: having more than one tRNA (with a specific anti-codon) for a particular amino acid; and 'wobble' base-pairing, i.e. permitting non-standard base-pairing at the 3rd anti-codon position. The record is from RNAcentral. RNAcentral also lists the same sequence under 2 other names. Lineage: Bacteria; Pseudomonadati; Pseudomonadota; Gammaproteobacteria; Pseudomonadales; Pseudomonadaceae.
CGGAGAGCUGGCCGAGUGGCCGAAGGCGCUCCCCUGCUAAGGGAGUACACCUCAAAAGGGUGUCGGGGGUUCGAAUCCCCCGUUCUCCGCCAU